RNAcentral lists this non-coding RNA (160 nucleotides) under Aneurinibacillus migulanus. Its description in RNAcentral is "Bacterial large subunit ribosomal RNA". It matches the Rfam family "Bacterial large subunit ribosomal RNA", at positions 2473 to 2632 of the family's 2925-position model. The record is from Rfam by way of RNAcentral. Lineage: Bacteria; Bacillati; Bacillota; Bacilli; Caryophanales; Paenibacillaceae.
GAUAACAGGCUUAUCUCCCCCAAGAGUCCACAUCGACGGGGAGGUUUGGCACCUCGAUGUCGGCUCAUCGCAUCCUGGAGCUGAAGUAGGUUCCAAGGGUUGGGCUGUUCGCCCAUUAAAGCGGUACGCGAGCUGGGUUCAGAACGUCGUGAGACAGUUC